Non-coding RNA from Jatropha curcas, 817 nucleotides. The record is from RefSeq and is a predicted model, not a curated record. Lineage: Eukaryota; Viridiplantae; Streptophyta; Magnoliopsida; Malpighiales; Euphorbiaceae.
UAGAAGAAUAUUUUUAGCUAUUAGAUUAUAUUACCAUUAACUUAAUCUUAGCCACUCAAUUUUGAUAAAAGAUCAAAACACCCUUUAGUUGCUUUAUAAAAGUCAAUCUUCAAUUAUUGAGCAACCAUUUUCUUCUUCUUCUCCUCUUCCUUAGGCGUCUUCUCCUUGUUCUUCUUCUUUUUGAUUUUCUUCAAUUCUUACUCACUAAACACAUCAAAUACACUCCAUUUUACCUUGAUUAAGUAAUUACUCUUAGACAACGGAGCUUGAGUAGUGAUUUUGGGUGAUUAAUUUCAAGAAAUUUGGAGAUUCUCUACCUAAAUCAAAGGUUGGGGAACCUUCUACUAAGGUGAAAGACAAAGUUAAGGCUUAGAGAGCUUUAAUCUAAGCUUGCUAAAACUUGUUUUAAGAAGAUGUGAAAAUAAAAGAUCUCGAGUUUGAGUCUUCACCACAAAAUUCAUCAUUAAUCUGGUGAAUCUUAUUUAAAGGGAAAUGUUACAUCUUUAUAUUCCACUUCUGAUAAUGCAUCCAUUGAGGACGAGUAUAUGUUAGUCCAUAGAUCAACGCUAUACUAUGGUCCAUUGUGCCUCCUAUGUAUAAAAAAACAAAGGGUCGAUCAUUUCUAAUAGUUGAUCUUGAACAUAUUUCAAUUCAUUAGGUCCUUUCGUGGUAAAAAAAUUGGUGCCAUUUCAAGUGAGUAUUUUUACUUUUGGGCCAAUAUCUUCUAUUCUUGAGCUCCAAAGCCCAAAUUGCAAUUUCAAUAUCAUACUAUCAUUUUUAUGCAUUAAAUAAUAUAAAAUUCCUAUAGUUCUAAAUA